CUGUAUCCAUGGGUUGAGUAAUUCCCUUCUGCCAAAUAUCUACUCAAAUGCUAUGGAAAAAAACAUUUUCUCUUCACUGCCUAUGGUCCCAGCCUGGGCUUGGCAAAGACAGGAAAACAGCUGCAAGCACACAAAGCAAACCUUCUCAUGUGACCAACCUGGAAAGACAGAGGCUUCAGCACGUGACACAGACUGGCACCACAGCCUGCACUUGUGACUCGAACUUAGCUGAAUUGGACAAACACG
Molecule: long non-coding RNA, 246 nt
Filed under: Homo sapiens (human)
Lineage: Eukaryota; Metazoa; Chordata; Mammalia; Primates; Hominidae
Description: LHRI_LNC1803.1
Source: RNAcentral